GGUUAAGCGACUAAGCGUACACGGUGGAUGCCCUGGCAGUCAGAGGCGAUGAAGGACGUGCUAAUCUGCGAUAAGCGUCGGUAAGGUGAUAUGAACCGUUAUAACCGGCGAUUUCCGAAUGGGGAAACCCAGUGUGAUUCGUCACACUAUCAUUAACUGAAUCCAUAGGUUAAUGAGGCGAACCGGGGGAACUGAAACAUCUAAGUACCCCGAGGAAAAGAAAUCAACCGAGAUUCCCCCAGUAGCGGCGAGCGAACGGGGAGCAGCCCAGAGCCUGAAUCAGUGUGUGUGUUAGUGGAAGCGUCUGGAAAGGCGCGCGAUACAGGGUGACAGCCCCGUACACAAAAAUGCACAUGCUGUGAGCUCGAUGAGUAGGGCGGGACACGUGGUAUCCUGUCUGAAUAUGGGGGGACCAUCCUCCAAGGCUAAAUACUCCUGACUGACCGAUAGUGAACCAGUACCGUGAGGGAAAGGCGAAAAGAACCCCGGCGAGGGGAGUGAAAAAGAACCUGAAACCGUGUACGUACAAGCAGUGGGAGCACAGAGCAAUCUGUGUGACUGCGUACCUUUUGUAUAAUGGGUCAGCGACUUAUAUUCUGUAGCAAGGUUAACCGAAUAGGGGAGCCGAAGGGAAACCGAGUCUUAACUGGGCGUUAAGUUGCAGGGUAUAGACCCGAAACCCGGUGAUCUAGCCAUGGGCAGGUUGAAGGUUGGGUAACACUAACUGGAGGACCGAACCGACUAAUGUUGAAAAAUUAGCGGAUGACUUGUGGCUGGGGGUGAAAGGCCAAUCAAACCGGGAGAUAGCUGGUUCUCCCCGAAAGCUAUUUAGGUAGCGCCUCGUGAAUUCAUCUCCGGGGGUAGAGCACUGUUUCGGCAAGGGGGUCAUCCCGACUUACCAACCCGAUGCAAACUGCGAAUACCGGAGAAUGUUAUCACGGGAGACACACGGCGGGUGCUAACGUCCGUCGUGAAGAGGGAAACAACCCAGACCGCCAGCUAAGGUCCCAAAGUCAUGGUUAAGUGGGAAACGAUGUGGGAAGGCCCAGACAGCCAGGAUGUUGGCUUAGAAGCAGCCAUCAUUUAAAGAAAGCGUAAUAGCUCACUGGUCGAGUCGGCCUGCGCGGAAGAUGUAACGGGGCUAAACCAUGCACCGAAGCUGCGGCAGCGACGCUGAUGCGUUGUUGGGUAGGGGAGCGUUCUGUAAGCCUGCGAAGGUGUGCUGUGAGGCAUGCUGGAGGUAUCAGAAGUGCGAAUGCUGACAUAAGUAACGAUAAAGCGGGUGAAAAGCCCGCUCGCCGGAAGACCAAGGGUUCCUGUCCAACGUUAAUCGGGGCAGGGUGAGUCGACCCCUAAGGCGAGGCCGAAAGGCGUAGUCGAUGGGAAACAGGUUAAUAUUCCUGUACUUGGUGUUACUGCGAAGGGGGGACGGAGAAGGCUAUGUUGGCCGGGCGACGGUUGUCCCGGUUUAAGCGUGUAGGCUGGUUUUCCAGGCAAAUCCGGAAAAUCAAGGCUGAGGCGUGAUGACGAGGCACUACGGUGCUGAAGCAACAAAUGCCCUGCUUCCAGGAAAAGCCUCUAAGCAUCAGGUAACAUCAAAUCGUACCCCAAACCGACACAGGUGGUCAGGUAGAGAAUACCAAGGCGCUUGAGAGAACUCGGGUGAAGGAACUAGGCAAAAUGGUGCCGUAACUUCGGGAGAAGGCACGCUGAUAUGUAGGUGAAGUCCCUCGCGGAUGGAGCUGAAAUCAGUCGAAGAUACCAGCUGGCUGCAACUGUUUAUUAAAAACACAGCACUGUGCAAACACGAAAGUGGACGUAUACGGUGUGACGCCUGCCCGGUGCCGGAAGGUUAAUUGAUGGGGUCAGCGCAAGCGAAGCUCUUGAUCGAAGCCCCGGUAAACGGCGGCCGUAACUAUAACGGUCCUAAGGUAGCGAAAUUCCUUGUCGGGUAAGUUCCGACCUGCACGAAUGGCGUAAUGAUGGCCAGGCUGUCUCCACCCGAGACUCAGUGAAAUUGAACUCGCUGUGAAGAUGCAGUGUACCCGCGGCAAGACGGAAAGACCCCGUGAACCUUUACUAUAGCUUGACACUGAACAUUGAGCCUUGAUGUGUAGGAUAGGUGGGAGGCUUUGAAGUGUGGACGCCAGUCUGCAUGGAGCCGACCUUGAAAUACCACCCUUUAAUGUUUGAUGUUCUAACGUUGACCCGUAAUCCGGGUUGCGGACAGUGUCUGGUGGGUAGUUUGACUGGGGCGGUCUCCUCCUAAAGAGUAACGGAGGAGCACGAAGGUUGGCUAAUCCUGGUCGGACAUCAGGAGGUUAGUGCAAUGGCAUAAGCCAGCUUGACUGCGAGCGUGACGGCGCGAGCAGGUGCGAAAGCAGGUCAUAGUGAUCCGGUGGUUCUGAAUGGAAGGGCCAUCGCUCAACGGAUAAAAGGUACUCCGGGGAUAACAGGCUGAUACCGCCCAAGAGUUCAUAUCGACGGCGGUGUUUGGCACCUCGAUGUCGGCUCAUCACAUCCUGGGGCUGAAGUAGGUCCCAAGGGUAUGGCUGUUCGCCAUUUAAAGUGGUACGCGAGCUGGGUUUAGAACGUCGUGAGACAGUUCGGUCCCUAUCUGCCGUGGGCGCUGGAGAACUGAGGGGGGCUGCUCCUAGUACGAGAGGACCGGAGUGGACGCAUCACUGGUGUUCGGGUUGUCAUGCCAAUGGCACUGCCCGGUAGCUAAAUGCGGAAGAGAUAAGUGCUGAAAGCAUCUAAGCACGAAACUUGCCCCGAGAUGAGUUCUCCCUGACUCCUUGAGAGUCCUGAAGGAACGUUGAAGACGACGACGUUGAUAGGCCGGGUGUGUAAGCGCAGCGAUGCGUUGAGCUAACCGGUACUAAUGAACCGUGAGGCUUAACCUU
RNAcentral lists this ribosomal RNA (2906 nucleotides) under Escherichia coli. Its description in RNAcentral is "23S ribosomal RNA". It matches the Rfam family "Bacterial large subunit ribosomal RNA". Lineage: Bacteria; Pseudomonadati; Pseudomonadota; Gammaproteobacteria; Enterobacterales; Enterobacteriaceae. The record is from RNAcentral.